AAUCCCGUGAACCAUCGAGUUUUUGAACACAAGUUGCGCCCAAGCCUUCGGGCCGAGGGCACGCCUGCCUGGGUGUCACACAUCGUGUCGCCCCCUCCCCCGCUCCGCGGAGCGGGGGGCGGAGACUGGCCUUCUGUGAGCUCCGUCAUGCGCCCGGCCU
RNAcentral lists this ribosomal RNA (160 nucleotides) under Isoglossa ovata. RNAcentral describes it as "5.8S ribosomal RNA". The stretch from base 1 to 78 matches the Rfam family "5.8S ribosomal RNA", at positions 78 to 154 of the family's 154-position model. Lineage: Eukaryota; Viridiplantae; Streptophyta; Magnoliopsida; Lamiales; Acanthaceae. The record is from RNAcentral.